Molecule: non-coding RNA, 4624 nt
Organism: Delphinapterus leucas (beluga whale)
Lineage: Eukaryota; Metazoa; Chordata; Mammalia; Artiodactyla; Monodontidae
Source: RefSeq, a predicted model, not a curated record
CAUCCAGUCUUGAUGCAUCCAUUUCAAUACAUAUAAAUCUAGCAUGUUAUUUUUUUAAAUUUAUUUUUUUAUACAGCAGGUUCUUAUUAGUUAUCUAUUUUAUGCAUUAAUGUAUAUAUGUCAAUCCCAAUCUCCCAAUUCAUCCCACCAACACCACCCCCAGCAUGUUCUUUUUAACAGAUAUAUAAUAUCCUGUUGUGUGGCUGUUUUAUAGCUAAUUUAACCAGCCCCCUGUUGAGUAUGCAAAUUGUAUUUCACUUUAGCUAUUUAUAAAAUGCCACAGUAAAUAUCCUCUAAGUCUUUGUGCAUGGGUGAAGUACAUUUGUAGGCUAACUUCUUGGAAGUAGAAUUGUUGGGGUAAAGGCUGUGUGUAUUUUUAAUUUUCAUAAAUUCUGCCUAAUUGCCAUUCAAAAAAGUUGUACCUAAUUACACUCGCACUGAUAACUUUGAUAGUUUAGCCACAUUUAUUGAAAGAGUUGUCAACAGUUGCUUUCUCCACCUCUUCACCUCCUACUUACAGCACAACUCACUCUAACUUGGCUUCUCUCCACCACUUCACUUUAAAAGGAUCUAAGGAGAGGUUGACCGCUCUCUCCUUUCUGAAACACUCUUGCCCUGGCUUUUAUAAUACCGUACUUGCCUGGUCUUCCUCUGCCCACUUGUGAAUGUUGGUGCUGCUUAGGGCUUCAGUUACCAUCUGCAUGCAGAUGACCCCCACAUUAUUUCCUUCUUCCUAAUCUUUAUCCACCUGCUUAUUUGCCAUCUUGAUGUGCACGCAUGUCCCACAGGCACCUCAGAUUCAACAUGCCCAACAUCCUCCUCCUCUGGUGCUCCCUUCUCAGCAGCUGUUCCACUGCUGUCCAGUGGUCCUAGCCAGAAACCUGCAAGUCAUUUUUGAACCUCACUGUCCCUCAACCUUCACCUCCAGUCAAUCACCAUGUCCCUGCCCAUUCUAUCUCCAUAAUGCCUCUCAAACUAUCACGUCUCUCAUCAUCUCCCCACACUACCCAAGUCCAGGUCCUCACUGUGUACCACCUGGACACUGCAAUGACCUUCUAAUUGCCUCCCUGGCUUUAGACUUACUACUCUCCAAACCAGUCUCCACCCUGUAGCCAGAGUGAGCUUUGAAAAAUGCAGGUCUGAUUAUGUUACAGUCCUGCUUAAAACCCUUUACUAAGUUCUGAUUGCACUUAGGGUAAAGACAAAUAAAUCUCCCCUGGCUGAUUAGGCCUUGGCAGCCUAACUGUUGUCACUACCAACCCCCUCCUUCAUACUGUAAUUAGUUUCUUGAGUGUUUUAUGCUCCUUCCCACUCAGAGUUUUUGUCUUUGCUGUUCCUUCCUGCCUGGAAUACUCUCUCUUUCCCUCCUGCCUUGACCUGGCAAACACCUUCUCAAUAAGUAGGUCUCAGCAUAAAUUUAACUUGUUUGAGGAUGCCUUCCAAGACCCUGAGACUUAUGCCCAGUGCCUAACACAAGGGUUGGUACAUGUUGAGAGCUCAAUAAAUAUUUACUAAUGAACAAGCGAAGGCCUCAAGGCCUGGUGGGUGAUUACCAGACUGCAGUUUUUCACAUGACCUCUGGGUGUCACCCUUGGCCUCAACUUAACCAGGUCUUGGCUGGGAACCCAGAAGGAAGGGCAGAUUUGAUGCCCAGCCUGGCCCCAUCCAUCCAGCAAACUGGGAAAGGUUAUGGGAAGCCCAGCUACUUCCUGGGUCUGACACGUUCUCCAUCUGCUGUGGGUCAGCUGGCUUGAUAGGGUGACUGAUCAUACCAGUUUUCCCAAGACUGAACUGCCUGUGCUCCCAGGAUGUGGAAAUUUUAGUCGUAAACCUGGGACAAUCCCAGGCAAAUCAGGAGGAUUGGUCACUGAACCAUGGACAGAGGGGUUGAAACCCCCACCAAUGCACUAGACUAAGGUCUAGGCCCAGCAGCAGAGCUGGCUCCAACCCAGCCAAGCUCCUUGCAGCAACACCACUGGUGGGCUGACCCUGUAGCCUGGUGGUUGUAAGAAUUUAGGGAAAGUAUAUAUACUUUAAAGGAAUAUAAAGAGACCAACUUAUGUCUGACAAUGUCUACCAUUUAUUCAGUGCUGCUGGGCAUAACAUACUUAUACAUAUCUUUUCUAAUCCUCACAGAAACCCUAAGAGUACAGAAGAUUGUUUUCCUUUCAGAGACUAGAAAACUGAGACUCGAGACCAGACUCAAGUAACCAGACCAAGUCACGCAGCUGUUAAGUAACAUGGUGAAAUUCAAACCCUUAUCUGUCCGAGUACAAAGCUUCAGCUAUUUUCACUGAAUCUUUAGCCUGGCCAUUUCCUUCCUUCUCUAGUCACUAUUUGAGAGCCCCAGGAGUGUGAGUAGGAGGCAAGAGGCAGGUGUGGGUGGAAAGGGUUGAGGAAGAGGGUCUGUGAUCAGGGCCUGAGUGGGGGGUAGGGGAUCCACAUAGCAUUGACAGCUUGCCUGUCCACAUCAGAGAAGUCUCUGCUGUCUUGAACUAGGUGUGGGCAUAGCCUGGGGGCUCCAGGGAGGCCCCUUCACAGGCUGUCAUCCUGACACCAGGCUGUAUAUUCGUCAAGAAGCCAAGGCUAUGUUUCCCAGAGUCCAGGAUGAACCCAACCAGGCCUUAUCUGAUUGCAAAUGGACAUCUGGACAUGAGAGAGGCACAGGGGAGGGGCCAUCAGGAGCUAGCCAUAAACUCAAGAGAUAAGUGAGGGGUGGGGGGAUGGGUGGGGAUGUGACAAGGGUCAUGGUAAGUACAGUGCCUUGCCCAGAGUUUAGGCUCAGUGAGUGUUGCAAUUAAUGAGAUAGCCAACUGCCCCUCUUUCCUAGAAAUAUUUGUAAGGCUGAGUUUUAUUUUUGCCCAGAUGGUUGUUUAGGAAUUGAACUGCUUUUGAAUACAAAACAAGAGUUGGUUGUGUAGAAGCAUGAGCAGAGGCCUGACUUUGGUUGUGUGGAAGAAUGGGCAGAGGCCUGACUAGGCUGUGCAGUGGUCAGAGCCCUGAUGAACACUUAUUGGUCUGGCAGCCAGAUAUCCGCUCCACAGGAGGUGUGAUAAGCCAGACUCUGGGAUUCCUUUACAUUAAAAGACAAAAUGCAGGCAUCCUUCAAGAAUUUUAAGUUCUCCGGCAGGAAGGUGCUUUGGGCUGUGCUGUUUUACUUUAUUUUAUUGGUGAUGUCCAAAGAUUUUUAGGGUGCAAGAUCUGUCCUGGAUCAUCUUGGCCUCAAACCUGCCAGCCCCUGGCACUGGUGUGGCCUGGCACCCCAUGGCCAGGUUCUUCCCUGUGGCUCUACUCUGCCAGCCAAGCCAUCAGAUGGGUGGUACCUAAGCAAGUCUUACCCAGAGUUGGGCCAUGUCUCUGCUCUUCCCUAGCUGGCUUUCCAGCUUCCACUAGAGAACUGGGCCUUGUACACUCUAGGGAAGGCUGAGGAUCUGGGCGUAAAGCAGGGGCAGAGAGAAGAGAAACCUUGCUUAAGCUGCCUUGUCCACAGGAUUCCUCUUUCCUUCAUUCUGAAAAUACCUAGUUCCAACUGUGAUGAAAGGGAAGAGGAAUUUGUGAAAGUUACCAAUACUGUACCAUCACAUUGAUGUGGGACCUCUUGCCAGGAGCUCAUGGAAGACAGUGACCUGGUGCAGUGGAAAGCACAAGACUUUAGGCCAUGGCAACAAAGGGCCUUGUGCUCACUACAGCAGAGCAUCCUGUCUUUGUCCAAUCCAGCCCAGAACAUCAGUCUCUGCAAAUAACAAAAGAUGUGGCCACUCGGCCGCCUGUCGGUGCCCCCACUGGAGCACUGAGAAGGGUUGAGGCCUCUCCAACUGGAACUGAACUAGGAGGAGAGCAGCAGACAGACAGGAAGCCCCUCUGUAGCAGGAACUGAUUCAACCUUUGCUCCUUUAGCCCUCAGUAGAUGGAAAUGCUGAAGCUCCCACGUCCUCUGUGCUUCUCUUUCUGAACACUCUUCCCUGGGUGAGCUCAUCCUUGCUUUUGGCUUCAGGUCCCACCUCCUGGAGGAAGACUUCUAGAGAAGAGAGUCUAGAAGACUCCCUAACCUCUGACGCACCCCAGAUGAGCACCCCAGUCUGAGCCCAUCGUAUAAAUUCCUUCCUUCUUGACAGUAACUGGUUUAGGAAUGGGGUUAUACCCAGUGAGACUAAGAGGACACUUGCUGGGGGGCUUCUGGGAAAGGUUUUUUCACUCCUAGGAGAGAAUCACUGGAAGCGACAUUCCCAGUGGCUCUCUUCCUGGGAAUGUUGUCAAGUCUAGAUAUGUCCUGGACCUACUGAACCUGGUGUGCUCCCAAGCUGAGAAUGGAGCCAACAGCAGGGAUGGCAGAGUGGAGAGCUGGAAGAAGUCUUUGUCCUUGAGGGCAUGAGUGCCCUGCCAUCCCUGGAGGCCACCCUAAUGCUGAACAAGGGAAAUUAAAUAUUGUCACUGCUGAAGCUAUUGAGAGUGGGCUUUCUGAUAUUUUGUGGUAGAAAGCAUCCUUACUAAUAUAACCAGGGCAGCAUUACGACUUUUGUGGGCCCCUUCCUACAGAACAAUUUCUUUUUUUUUUUUUUUUUUUUUCAGUUUGCAGGCCUCUCACUGUUGUGGCCUCUCCCGUUGUGGAGCACAGGCUCCAGAC